This 648-nucleotide long non-coding RNA is filed under the name Dicentrarchus labrax (European seabass). RNAcentral describes it as "lncRNA (ENSDLAG00005013942.2)". The record is from RNAcentral. Lineage: Eukaryota; Metazoa; Chordata; Actinopteri; Moronidae.
AUGGUGCCCAGUGCAUCAAGCAACAGCUGGUACCAUGUAAACACCUUAGCAAGUUGCUGCACUUGUCCAGUUGGUGUGACCGGUGCUCCAUGCAAGCACCAAAGCGCAGUUAUGCAGACAUUUAACGUCACAGAGGCAGUCCCUGUAACCACCACAUCUCUUCUGAGGCGGCUUUUCCAUGGAAUCGCCUCUGGGGGUAGCACUCCAGAGGACUGGUUUGAGACACUGGCUUAUGAAAAGGCUGUGGUGGGCACAUCAGAGGAAGUUGAGGAGACAGCAUUCCUGGAGAAGCAGCUUGAAGACAUUGUUGGGCUCCUGAAGCGCAAGCUGCGUGAGGAUACAACCUUCACUGCUCCAGUGAAAUCCUUUGUGGACACAUUUGGGAAGCUCCACACUGACAGUGCUGUACAGUCAGCAUUGUUUUCCUUCGGGAAAAACGAUCGAGGGCAGUCUAGUGUUCGUGCAAGGCCGAGGGGCUUCCUUCAAACGAGUGCCACUAUAGGUGUCCAACCGACAGCGGUGUCCCGGAGAAAGGCAGCUUUGGGUGGUAGGAGAACCCUUGGAGCUGGCAGACCCCCAAAGAGCUCAAGAAAGGAACAUGGGUACUCCAGACAAGGCAGACCAAAGGGUGUACCACACAACCUGUGA